RNAcentral lists this ribosomal RNA (447 nucleotides) under uncultured bacterium. RNAcentral's name for it is "bacterial SSU rRNA". It matches the Rfam family "Bacterial small subunit ribosomal RNA", at positions 355 to 825 of the family's 1533-position model. The record is from RNAcentral.
UGGGGAAUAUUGGACAAUGGGCGAAAGCCUGAUCCAGCAAUGCCGCGUGAGGGAUGACGGCCUUCGGGUUGUAAACCUCUUUUGUCAGGGAAGAUGAUGACGGUACCUGACGAAUAAGUCACGGCUAACUACGUGCCAGCAGCCGCGGUAAUACGUAGGUGACGAGCGUUGUCCGGAUUUACUGGGCGUAAAGAGCGCGCAGGCGGUCGUUCAAGUCGAGUGUGAAAGCCCCCGGCUCAACUGGGGAGGGUCACUCGAUACUGAUCGACUCGAAGGCAGGAGAGGGAAGUGGAAUUCCCGGUGUAGUGGUGAAAUGCGUAGAUAUCGGGAGGAACACCAGUGGCGAAGGCGACUUCCUGGCCUGUUCUUGACGCUGAGGCGCGAAAGCUAGGGGAGCAAACGGGAUUAGAUACCCCAGUAGUCCCUGAGCGGGCUGGCAAGGCGCAU